This is a transfer RNA of 73 nucleotides. It matches the Rfam family "tRNA". Rfam says of the family: Transfer RNA (tRNA) molecules are approximately 80 nucleotides in length. Their secondary structure includes four short double-helical elements and three loops (D, anti-codon, and T loops). Further hydrogen bonds mediate the characteristic L-shaped molecular structure. tRNAs have two regions of fundamental functional importance: the anti-codon, which is responsible for specific mRNA codon recognition, and the 3' end, to which the tRNAs corresponding amino acid is attached (by aminoacyl-tRNA synthetases). tRNAs cope with the degeneracy of the genetic code in two manners: having more than one tRNA (with a specific anti-codon) for a particular amino acid; and 'wobble' base-pairing, i.e. permitting non-standard base-pairing at the 3rd anti-codon position. The record is from Rfam.
GCGCCGCUAGCUCAACUGGCAGAGCAGCUGACUCUUAAUCAGCGGGUUCGGGGUUCAAGUCCCUGGCGGCGCA